GGCCGGUGAUGUGAGGAUGAAAGAUAUUUGCUACUCUUGAUGGGUUUCUUGACCCAUCUGAUGACUCCAUAACCACCAAGAUCUCUGAGGCC
Small nucleolar RNA from Syzygium oleosum, 92 nucleotides. RefSeq annotates it as small nucleolar RNA SNORD24. The transcript has a single exon. NCBI's taxonomy places the organism in Eukaryota, Viridiplantae, Streptophyta, Magnoliopsida, Myrtales, Myrtaceae. The record is from RefSeq and is a predicted model, not a curated record.